RNAcentral lists this ribosomal RNA (486 nucleotides) under uncultured bacterium. RNAcentral's name for it is "bacterial SSU rRNA". It matches the Rfam family "Bacterial small subunit ribosomal RNA", at positions 33 to 507 of the family's 1533-position model. The record is from RNAcentral.
AGACGACGCUGGCGGCGUGGAUUAGGCAUGCAAGUCGAACGGUAUCAUCCUUCGGGGGUGAGAGAGUGGCGAACUGGUGAGUAACACGUAGGUUAUCUACCCUCAAGACGGGGACAACCCAGGGAAACUUGGGCUAAUACCGGAUGUGAGCAACUUUUAGUUGUUUGAAAGGUGGCGUAAGCUGUCGCUUGGGGAUGAGCCUGCGUCCUAUUAGUUAGUUGGUGAGGUAACGGCUCACCUAGGCAAUGAUAGGUAGGCGGCCUUAACGGGUGGUCGCCCACACUGGGAUUGAGAUACGGCCCAGACCCCUACGGGAGGCAGCAGUCGAGAAUAGUCUACAAUGGUCGGAAGACUGAUAGUGCGACGCCGCGUGAACGAUGAAUCCCUUCGGGGUGUAAAGUUCUUUUAUAUGUGAGCAGUGCUUCUUAUAUUAACAGUAUGGGGAGAGAGAUAUUAGCAUAUGAAUAAGCAACGGCUAACUCCGUG